This 552-nucleotide long non-coding RNA is filed under the name Homo sapiens (human). RNAcentral's name for it is "non-protein coding lnc-SYT13-5:2". Lineage: Eukaryota; Metazoa; Chordata; Mammalia; Primates; Hominidae. The record is from RNAcentral.
AGUGGUCGCCUGUCCCAGAGAGCUGGUGAGAUGAGGUGGGGAGGUGGCAGCUGAGUUUUAUGGUGAGAAAGUGGAGUUCGAAGAUGUCAUCAGCCCAGGUCACACAGAUGGUGGAGACCAGUGUGGAGCCCGGGAGUGGGCUGAGCAGAGCAUCUGGACUUUGAGCUUCCAUCAGACCCUGAGAUAGUCACCUGUCCUGGCUGCCUGGUGACCCUGGUGUGCUAACGUGGCACUUAUCUUGCUCUAUGGAGGCCCCUGGGCCCCCUAAACACCAGGUGGGUGCCUUCAGCCAGCCCCAUACUGACCUGUGAAGCCCAGGUAUUGCUGGCCAACCCACCCCACUCACAGACAGAAGCAGUUCUCCAUCUUUUGGCUUUAGCAGAUCUGCUUCAUUUCUCCUCCCCACAAAGCCUGGACUUUGUUCUGGGGGUAUCCCUGUUUGCAGUGAAGCUUUUUCACUCAGUGCUCAAUCUGAGCCCAACUCCACCCCACAUCUCUGAUUCAUAGACUUUUGUGACUGCCUUGACCAGUAGAGUAUGGCAGAAGAUGCUC